Molecule: long non-coding RNA, 3545 nt
Organism: Bubalus bubalis (water buffalo)
Lineage: Eukaryota; Metazoa; Chordata; Mammalia; Artiodactyla; Bovidae
Exons: 3
Source: RefSeq, a predicted model, not a curated record
UCCUUUUGAAGCAAAGAUACUUUACUUGAAGAGCUAGGACAUUUUAACAAAAAUCCAGAAAUUGUAAAUCCCAAAAUACAUUUGGAUUAAGCACAUUUUCAUGUCAGAAAAUUUUAAAGAAAGCUUAUUCGAUACAUGUUUUUUUAAGGUUUUAGGAAAUCACUUUUGGACCUAAGCAGUAUAAUUAUAAACAGCAGGUGAAGACAAGAUUUUAGUAUAGCUGUCUUUGCUACAUGGCCUACAGGGGUCACUAGGAUGAAGCCUCAUAAUAAUAAAGUUUAUGCUAGAUUCCAGAGUCUGACCACAAUUUUCUGCUUUCUUAAGAGUUUUCCUCCCAGGGAAUUAAGAUUUGCUCUUCUAUGGAUAAGUGUAUGUGCCAGAACACUGGGGAAAUGCUUUACAAACACAUAGAUUCUUCUCAGGCUACUUGGAGUAAAACAUCAAGAUCUACAUGCAAAUAGAAGGCAGCAUGUGCACCCCAGAUAUUUUCCUUUGUUGUAAAAUUUCAGAGCUGGUGUCCUUAAACACCAUCUGUUCCAUUUCCUUUUUAUUACAGAUGAGGAAACAGGAGAGGGCAAAUGCUCAAAGUCACCAAGAAGGUUAGAGGCAGCACUCAGAUUAAAAUCUGUUUUUUGAAUCUGAGUGUGUUUUUCUCAGUGUAGCAGGUUAUUAAACAGGAAAAGGACUGUGGCGAUGGAGCCCUCUCCUCGUUCAGCUCCUGCAUUUUGCGGAUGAGAAAUCUGAGAUCUUACUCAAAGGUUCCCAGUCAGUAAAAGACUAGAAUUUAGAACUUCAGAUUCUUGGUCUAGUUUCUUUUCCACUUUAAAACACCACCCUCUCUUAAGUGUCAAAUAAGCCUGAGAUAUUUCUAUUCCUGAAGAAAUUAUUGUAUAAAAAGGAAAUAAUUCUGAAUUAAUCUAAAAUGAUGAAUAAGCUUAUGAUUAAAAACAUUCCAUUUACUUAUCUAACAUAUAAGGAAGUAUUAAUAUCCUUUAGAAUCUUACAUUGUCUUAUUAGUUUACUGAUAUAAACCUCAAACUCUCCUGUGUAUAAUGGGAAAACAAAGCCUAUCUAAUACUAUAAAUAUAGCCAACAAAAAAGUGAACUAGCCAUUGGUGAAAGGAAAACUUUUCUCUCAAGAAUUUACUUUUUGGAGUUGGAUUUUAUAAACACAGUUUUGUUUGUUUGUUUUUAAAUCGCUGUUGAUGCUUUAACUGGGAAAUGCCCCAAUGGUCCCUCCAUUCUGGGCCCCUUCCCUCUUCUCCCCGCUCCCCCCCGCCUUUUUUUUUUUACUUUGGUGUAUGAGCUUGGUAUGCGCCCAAGACACAGCAGAACCAGCUAAUCCUGGGUAAUCGGUCUCAACUUGAUGGAGCUCUGUUUGCAAGAAGGUCCUGAGGCCAAGACAAAGAAGACACAAAGACUCUUUUGGAGGAAAUUUUGGCUGUGUGUGUGGAAUGUAGAACCUAUGCUGGUUCUGGCUCUAAGCAAAACAUGUGAGGCAGAUGGAAGCUUUUGUUGUCUCUAGUGGUUCCUUUUCCUAUUCCCUCCCCCUCCUGUUUUCCUCUCAGAGUCAUACACCAUGUGACUAGAGCAGACAGAAAUACAGUGAUUUCUGCAGGGGAGGAAGGAGCAAAUUGGUAUGGAGAGCCAAGAGAGCCAAGCUGGUAUUGACAAGGGUUAGAAUAUUAUGUUUAGGACUGGAGGGGACUCAGUGGGUGGGGAGCUCCAAGUCCAAAUUAGGGGUUGGGAGUCACAAGUCAGAUUCCCAUUCAGGCAGAGGUGAACGACCAACAGUUUGCUAAUCAAAGAAUUAAGAGACUGCCACCAUAGGACAACAAGUUUCUCUAGGCAGGUCUGGGUGAAAGACCUCCCGAAGAAGAGUUCCUGGAAAGCAGAGUCUACCCUGGAGGAGGUGGAAGGCACAAAAGCUGAUGUUCCUCAUUGCUGACCGGGAUUUAGAGAUAGGCUUCUUCCUUCAGGAGGGGACCCAGGUGCCUGUAACUCUGGCCAAGGAGACAAGCAGCCAGGCUGCACGGAGACGUGUAGAAUCAAAGUGCCCUUAGAGUGAAGAGGGGAAGGAGAUUUGGUGGAAGUAGGGAGGAGGGGCUCAUGAUCUUAAGGAACAGACCGACGGGCAAACAACAUUUUCCUCCACCCAUUGCCAAAGAUGAGAGCAGAGAUACGUACAAGGUGCUGUGUGGGCAGAGAGGCAGUUCUCAGAGCCAGAGCGACUCAUGAGAAGAUGCCUGCCUAGACAUCCAGGAACUGAGCAAGCAGAAGAUCAAGGGUUAAAAAUCAAUUUUGUACCUUUUGCAUAUUCUCAGUAAGUUCAUUCUGAUUUCCUUUAGGCUAACCUUGUGGCUUUUUUUCAUUUCUAUAGAUUUAUAAGUAAAAAUUUUCUAAAAUCUUAAUUUGGCCUUUAACAUUCUAAAGAAUUAUUUACAGUCUUGAUGAUAGAUAGACACCAUUUUAGUGUUUUGGGUAACUAUUAUUACAAACCAAAGCUGCGAGGUACCCAGAGAGCCUGAGCAUGUAAGAAGUAUGUUAAGCCUGUUAUUUUAAGACUAGCAAUAGAAGUAGGACUCUACCUUUCCCAGUGCUCUGUCAUCCUCAUUGUAUGAUAUGGCUACAUAUUUUUGACUAUCAAAAGAAAGAGGACACUUCCUUAUGUAUGAAGAAAUAAAGGUUGAUAAAACUAAAAUCCAAAAAUAUCUUGACAAACUCAUGUUGUAGGCUGAUGCCUUAUGAGCUAUAACAGGAGUAACUAUAAAGUUGUCUAGUUACUACUUUUACUUACAGACUACAUUACUCUACAACCAUCCACCAUCCUAUAAACAAACAAAAAAAACAGGAAAAAAUUGCAUAUGGUCAGAAAGGGAUGAUGAGAUGCAAUUUGUAGCAGUCAUACAAAAAAAGACUUAAGACUUUCACCUGAGGUGGAUAUAGGGGGAUGCUAAUAAAAUUCCAAAAUGAAUAGGACCUUUGAAUUCCCUCUAGAAUGAGGGAAGCACUAGUUCUUCUUCCAGACCCAUCUUUCCAGGUGUUACUGUUUAAAAAGACCAUAGACAAACUAGUUAUAAACUCAUUCAUGUUACAGAUGUGUGAUUGCAGGAAUGGAAGAUGUUUGGCUUAUAGAAAGGAAAUAACUGCAUUUAAAUAUCAAUUAUAUUCUUCUGUAGAGUUCCAAGGUAAACUUCAAGGUAAGUAGGAGACAAAAAGAACACAAUUUUGCUUCACUGUAGAAAGAAAGAAAGAAAAAUAGUAAGUUACCUUGGGAGAUAAUGAGUUCCAUGGUCUGGGGAAAAAUCAACAUAGGAUAAAUGACCGUUGCUUGGGAACAUUGAAAGGUUAUAAAAAGUCUCAGCUAAGAUAAUAAUGACUAAUACCUAUAUAGCAUUUCCUGUUGUCCUUGCACAAUUCUAAGUGAUUUACAUGUAUUACCUCAUUUAAUUCUUUGAAGUACCUUACAAAGAAGGUGUUCUUUUACAGAUACAAAAACUGAGGCAUAAAGAGAGCUAACUAAUUUAUCCAAGGGCACAUAGCUA